GACGAACGCUGGCGGCGUGCUUAACACAUGCAAGUCGAACGGAAAGGCCCUGCUUUUGUGGGGUGCUCGAGUGGCGAACGGGUGAGUAACACGUGAGUAACCUGCCCUUGACUUUGGGAUAACUUCAGGAAACUGGGGCUAAUACCGGAUAGGAGCUCCUGCUGCAUGGUGGGGGUUGGAAAGUUUCGGCGGUUGGGGAUGGACUCGCGGCUUAUCAGCUUGUUGGUGGGGUAGUGGCUUACCAAGGCUUUGACGGGUAGCCGGCCUGAGAGGGUGACCGGCCACAUUGGGACUGAGAUACGGCCCAGACCCCCACGGGGGGCAGGAGUGGGGAAUAUUGCACAAUGGGCGGAAGCCUGAUGCAGCAACGCCGCGUGCGGGAUGACGGCCUUCGGGUUGUAAACCGCUUUCGCCUGUGACGAAGCGUGAGUGACGGUAAUGGGUAAAGAAGCACCGGCUAACUACGU
RNAcentral lists this ribosomal RNA (467 nucleotides) under uncultured bacterium. RNAcentral's name for it is "partial 16S ribosomal RNA". It matches the Rfam family "Bacterial small subunit ribosomal RNA", at positions 28 to 506 of the family's 1533-position model. The record is from RNAcentral.